RNAcentral lists this ribosomal RNA (1401 nucleotides) under uncultured bacterium. RNAcentral's name for it is "bacterial SSU rRNA". It matches the Rfam family "Bacterial small subunit ribosomal RNA". The record is from RNAcentral.
AGUUUGAUCCUGGCUCAGAUUGAACGCUGGCGGCAGGCCUAACACAUGCAAGUCGAGCGGUAGCACAGAGAGCUUGCUCUCGGGUGACGAGCGGCGGACGGGUGAGUAAUGUCUGGGAAACUGCCUGAUGGAGGGGGAUAACUACUGGAAACGGUAGCUAAUACCGCAUAACGUCGCAAGACCAAAGUGGGGGACCUUCGGGCCUCAUGCCAUCAGAUGUGCCCAGAUGGGAUUAGCUAGUAGGUGGGGUAACGGCUCACCUAGGCGACGAUCCCUAGCUGGUCUGAGAGGAUGACCAGCCACACUGGAACUGAGACACGGUCCAGACUCCUACGGGAGGCAGCAGUGGGGAAUAUUGCACAAUGGGCGCAAGCCUGAUGCAGCCAUGCCGCGUGUGUGAAGAAGGCCUUCGGGUUGUAAAGCACUUUCAGCGGGGAGGAAGGCGUUAAGGUUAAAAACCCUUGGGCGAUUGACGUUACCCCGCAGAAAAAAGCACCGGCUAAACUCCGUGCCAGCAGCCGCGGUAAUACGGAGGGUGCAAGCGUUAAUCGGAAUUACUGGGCGUAAAGCGCACGCAGGCGGUCUGUCAAGUCGGAUGUGAAAUCCCCGGGCUCAACCUGGGAACUGCAUUCGAAACUGGCAGGCUAGAGUCUUGUAGAGGGGGGUAGAAUUCCAGGUGUAGCGGUGAAAUGCGUAGAGAUCUGGAGGAAUACCGGUGGCGAAGGCGGCCCCCUGGACAAAGACUGACGCUCAGGUGCGAAAGCGUGGGGAGCAAACAGGAUUAGAUACCCUGGUAGUCCACGCCGUAAACGAUGUCGAUUUGGAGGUUGUGCCCUUGAGGCGUGGCUUCCGGAGCUAACGCGUUAAAUCGACCGCCUGGGGAGUACGGCCGCAAGGUUAAAACUCAAAUGAAUUGACGGGGGCCCGCACAAGCGGUGGAGCAUGUGGUUUAAUUCGAUGCAACGCGAAGAACCUUACCUGGUCUUGACAUCCACAGAACUUUCCAGAGAUGGAUUGGUGCCUUCGGGAACUGUGAGACAGGUGCUGCAUGGCUGUCGUCAGCUCGUGUUGUGAAAUGUUGGGUUAAGUCCCGCAACGAGCGCAACCCUUAUCCUUUGUUGCCAGCGGUUCGGCCGGGAACUCAAAGGAGACUGCCAGUGAUAAACUGGAGGAAGGUGGGGAUGACGUCAAGUCAUCAUGGCCCUUACGACCAGGGCUACACACGUGCUACAAUGGCAUAUACAAAGAGAAGCGACCUCGCGAGAGCAAGCGGACCUCAUAAAGUAUGUCGUAGUCCGGAUUGGAGUCUGCAACUCGACUCCAUGAAGUCGGAAUCGCUAGUAAUCGUAGAUCAGAAUGCUACGGUGAAUACGUUCCCGGGCCUUGCACACACCGCCCGUC